UACGGGGGGGGCAAGCGUUGUUCGGAAUUACUGGGCGUAAAGGGCGUGUAGGCGGCCAACUAAGUCCGACGUGAAAUCCCCAGCCUUAACCUGGGAACUGCGUCGGAUACUGGAUGGCUUGAAUCCGGGAGAGGUGAGUGGAACUGCGAGUGUAGAGGUGAAAUUCGUAGAUAUUCGCAAGAACACCAGUGGCGAAGGCGGCUCACUGGCCCGGUACUGACGCUGAGGUGCGAAAGCGUGGGGAGCAAACAGG
Molecule: ribosomal RNA, 253 nt
Filed under: uncultured bacterium
Lineage: Bacteria
Description: partial 16S ribosomal RNA
Rfam family: Bacterial small subunit ribosomal RNA
Source: RNAcentral